Molecule: long non-coding RNA, 169 nt
Organism: Neopelma chrysocephalum (saffron-crested tyrant-manakin)
Lineage: Eukaryota; Metazoa; Chordata; Aves; Passeriformes; Pipridae
Exons: 3
Source: RefSeq, a predicted model, not a curated record
UGGGGCUCGACUUCCCCAACCUGCCGUAUCUCAUCGACGGCCCCACCAAGCUGACCCAGAGCAACGCGAUCCUGCGCUACCUCGCCCGCAAGCACGACCUGUGCGGCCAGACGGAGCAGGAAAAGCAGCGCGUGGAUCUGAUGGAAAACCAGCUCAUGGAUUUCAGGAU